AAAACUCAAAUGAAUUGACGGGGGCCCGCACAAGCGGUGGAGCAUGUGGUUUAAUUCGAUGCAACGCGAAGAACCUUACCUGGUCUUGACAUCCACAGAACUUUCCAGAGAUGGAUUGGUGCCUUCGGGAACUGUGAGACAGGUGCUGCAUGGCUGUCGUCAGCUCGUGUUGUGAAAUGUUGGGUUAAGUCCCGCAACGAGCGCAACCCUUAUCCUUUGUUGCCAGCGG
Molecule: ribosomal RNA, 229 nt
Filed under: Escherichia coli
Lineage: Bacteria; Pseudomonadati; Pseudomonadota; Gammaproteobacteria; Enterobacterales; Enterobacteriaceae
Description: partial 16S ribosomal RNA
Rfam family: Bacterial small subunit ribosomal RNA
Source: RNAcentral